This 253-nucleotide ribosomal RNA is filed under the name uncultured bacterium. RNAcentral's name for it is "partial 16S ribosomal RNA". It matches the Rfam family "Bacterial small subunit ribosomal RNA", at positions 524 to 776 of the family's 1533-position model. The record is from RNAcentral.
GACAGAGGCCUCAAGCCUUAGGCGGAAUCACUGGGCUUAAAGCGUGUGUAGGCGGAUCGUUAAGUGUCUUGUGAAAUCCCACGGCUCACCCGUGGAACUGCUGGGCAUACUGGCGAUCUUGGGCCAACUAGGGGCAACUGGAACAAGCGGUGGAGCGGUGAAAUGCGUAGAUAUCGCUUGGAACGCCAAAGGUGAAAACAGGUUGCUGGGGUUGUGCCGACGCUGAGACACGAAAGCCAGGGGAGCAAACGGG